This is a long non-coding RNA of Helianthus annuus (common sunflower), 384 nucleotides long. RefSeq lists it as uncharacterized. Lineage: Eukaryota; Viridiplantae; Streptophyta; Magnoliopsida; Asterales; Asteraceae. The record is from RefSeq and is a predicted model, not a curated record. The transcript has 3 exons.
CAGUUCACCAUAUAGAAGCAGUUCACCAUAUAGAAGCAUCGAAGCAUCUGGAUCGAGAUUUUAUAUCAGAUUUGAGAUUUUACCUGCAGAUAGUCAUAUAAUCGAGGUAAAAAGCUAGAAAAAAAACGAAGAAAAUAACAUUUGUGUUGAGAUAUAAUGACGAAGGGGCAACAAAACUGCCGGAUGAUAAGGAAGGUGAAUACAAAAGUGUUAAACGAAAAGCCAAAAAAGGAAAAAUAUAUUCAAAACUGCUCAUGGAUUGACAACAAGGACAUAUUUGAUGAAUAGGUUGACAUCUCGGAAAAUGAUAGACUAAGAGGCGUUGAAACAGGAGGAGUGUUGGAAGAUGCUUAGUAAAUGGAAAGACGAGCAGAAGGUGUGAGG